Molecule: long non-coding RNA, 1614 nt
Filed under: Olea europaea subsp. europaea
Lineage: Eukaryota; Viridiplantae; Streptophyta; Magnoliopsida; Lamiales; Oleaceae
Source: RNAcentral
ACCAACGGGUCCCACUCAAACUUAUGCCAAAAGUGACCCAUUUACUUAUUUUUCCAACACAUUCUCCAAAAUUAAGGAUGUUGAAAAUUUCAUUGUCCCUAUGUGUGUGACAGGUACAACCUCACCAUUUGGGAGUGCUACAGAAUAAGAAACUUCUGCAUUGAUUGUGGUAUAUAAUGAGGCUGAACAGAUCAUAUGAUCUGUGGCCCCGUAUCUAAUAUCCAAGGAAUAGUGGAAAUAUCGGUGACUUUUGUACUAUGAACUAAAAGGCAUAGAGAUAUACCAGAAAUUUUGGGUAUUUUACCAUCAUUAGAGUGAGGCUGAGCAAAAGUUUGGACGCUUUUUGCAGAGGAAAUGAAUGUCUAAGGACUUUGUGGUUUGAGUAAUGCCAUAAGCUGAGCAUAUUGCUCCUGAGUUAUAGACUUUUGGGCCUUGUCACUCACAUGCUCUUGGACAAAAGGCAGAAGUGCAGAAGUUUGAUUAGCAAAAGAACCUGAGAUUUUGUUUCUCCCAUCUGGUUUGUAGCUUGGUGGAUACCCAUGUAAUUUGAAACACUUGUCUAUUGCAUGACCAAGCAUUUGGCAGUGAGAGCACGUUGGUUUAUUUGGAUUAGCCUUGAAACACCUCUCUAGAGAAUGUCCUGCCAUCUUGCAGUAAGUGCAGUAGUACUUAUCCUUUCUUUGAGCAGACAUGUUCUUCCAUCCAUUCCUGAAGUUGCCCCUUGUUAAGAGUGCCAUAGAUUCACUGAUAAUUCCAUCAGAGGAUAUCUGCCUUCUUUUCUCUUCUUAUUGUAUAAUGGAGGAUGCUUCAUUCAAACUAGGGAAAGGUUUGAUCAAUAGUGCCUUAAGUCCCUUGUAUGAAUCAUUUAAACCCAUUAAAAACUUAAUAACCUAAUCUCUCUGCUGGUUUUGCAACACAGUCUUUAAUCCUCCACAAGAACAACUAGGUAUUGCCUCAUAAUUUAUUAACUCAUCCAAGAGAGUCUUAAGUUUGGAGAAAUAAACAUUUACAUUAUCUUGAUUCUGGACUAGAGCUGUUAUACCUUGCUUAACUUCAUAUAUUCUUGGUGCAUUCUGCCGGGCAAAGUGUUGUUCAAGCUCCAACUAGAGUUCAUGAGCUGUUUCUGCAUAUGUUGUGCUGCAUUUGAUAUCUAAUGUCAUUGAGUUUUGCAUCCUAGUGAUCACAAUAUCAUUGCAUCGUAACCAAUGCUCCAUGAGAGGAUCAUUUGGGUCUGAAGGUUCACAAAUGCUGCCAUCAAUAAAACCUAACUUAUUUUUUUAUCCUGAGAGCUCUCUUCAUUGAUCUAGCCCAAGUGUGGUAAUUACUUGCAUCCAGCACAUGAGUUAUUAACACAGAACCACUUCAAUCAUUGCUGUUAAUGUAAUAAGGACUGCUUGGUAAAAUGGAAUUAUAAGAAAGAGCUGCCGAUUCACCAGAUGAAUUUGCAUUGGGGUUUGGAUUUGGAUUUGGAGUUGAUAUGGAAUUUGGAUUAGGAAUUUUAGUAUCCACCAUUAUGGCUCUGAUACCAUAAAAGAAAAGUUGUGAAAAAAAGGUAAAGGGAUGAACAAACAGGAAAGCUUUCAAGACAGAGUUGAGAGAAUUUUGUGAUUGGAU